RNAcentral lists this ribosomal RNA (497 nucleotides) under uncultured bacterium. RNAcentral's name for it is "partial 16S ribosomal RNA". It matches the Rfam family "Bacterial small subunit ribosomal RNA", at positions 28 to 507 of the family's 1533-position model. The record is from RNAcentral.
GACGAACGCUGGCGGCGUGCCUAAUACAUGCAAGUUGAGCGCUGAAGGUUGGUACUUGUACCGACUGGAUGAGCAGCGAACGGGUGAGUAACGCGUGGGGAAUCUGCCUUUGAGCGGGGGACAACAUUUGGAAACGAAUGCUAAUACCGCAUAAAAACUUUAAACACAAGUUUUAAGUUUGAAAGAUGCAAUUGCAUCACUCAAAGAUGAUCCCGCGUUGUAUUAGCUAGUUGGUGAGGUAAAGGCUCACCAAGGCGAUGAUACAUAGCCGACCUGAGAGGGUGAUCGGCCACAUUGGGACUGAGACACGGCCCAAACUCCUACGGGAGGCAGCAGUAGGGAAUCUUCGGCAAUGGACGAAAGUCUGACCGAGCAACGCCGCGUGAGUGAAGAAGGUUUUCGGAUCGUAAAACUCUGUUGGUAGAGAAGAACGUUGGUGAGAGUGGAAAGCUCAUCAAGAGACGGUAACUACCCAGAAAGGGACGGCUAACUACGUG